UCCUCAUGAAAGCCAACAGCACAAUGAAUGUGAUAAAAGAGUUGACUGCAUGAGACGACAAAAAGGAAAAGGGAUAAAAGAGUUGACUGCAUUUGCUUUCGACCAAUGGAUGUGCAUUAUUAUCCAACAUUGAGAUUAGGGGUUUUGAGCUUCUAUCAACUCCCAUAUGAUCUCAUAGCCAGUGCAGUGCAGUGCCAACAGAACACCAACCUAUGCUCGCAAGACAAAGCGCUUUGGUUUAGAUAGAGUUCCUCCUCCUAAUCAAUCGAUAGGCUCCUAAAAUAUGGCACAGCUCGAUACCCUGCACGCAGUCGGCUUCACCUAUUGGAUUCGAUCAUUUGCCGAUUCUGAUAGUAGAUCACAUUGCCAUUGGAUUUUUGUUCUUCCUUCCGUUGGAGUUCUACCGAAUCUUGGAUACUACUAGCGGGGGGGCAUCGAAAUUUGGAUCCUUCUUGCUAGCAGAUCUCAGCUCUGGCCAGAAAACCCUAGGGCGGAUUCGAAUUUAGGGUUCUUGCUCCCUUUUCCUUGUCUUUGUUGUCGCGAUUUCAGAUACUGGGGUUUUUAUCUAUGGCGGCGGCGAUGGAUGGGGAGGGUGGCGACUUGCAGGACCCGGGCAUCGGUGAUGGGUUCGGAGGACAGGAUGACGGCGUUGCAGGAGGAAGAGCUGAGUGCCACAUCUGAUAUUUAUGAGCUUGCCAGUACCUUUUCCAAGGUUAGUUCUUUCUUUCUUUUCCAUAUUUUAUGUCUUAUGUGAAUGGAUGCUUUUCCAGGAAGAUGUUUUGAAUUAUCCUUCAGGCUGUUUAGUCUCUACAGAAUUGUUUGUUAUAGUAAAGCCCUGCUGCAGGCCGGUGAAUCAUUGGGAUUUUUAAUGAUUGGAAAGUUACAUGAAUCCCUGAAACUGUGGAGUGACUGACCACAAGACCUAUGCAGCAUCAUGUUAAUCAUGUUACUUUUUUCUCUGUGCUGUUAAGUGCUUUGGGUAUGCAUCCAUAUCUGAUUCGAAUGAGCGGGAUAUUAUUGGUAUAUUAUUGGGCAUAGUCUGAUGCUUUUAACUUGCCUUAAUAUUGUUUUAAGUCUUGCCAAAUGAACAUAGUUUAAUCAAGGCUUUAGAGUCAAUAAUUCCAACUAUUGGCUUCUUAGAUAUUGCUUCACCGAAAAGUUGUAAUUUCCUCGACAUGUAUUGUGGUUCAUGAGUAUUCCAUAUUUGUUGAGGUCA
Molecule: long non-coding RNA, 1216 nt
Organism: Musa acuminata AAA Group (dessert banana)
Lineage: Eukaryota; Viridiplantae; Streptophyta; Magnoliopsida; Zingiberales; Musaceae
Exons: 2
Source: RefSeq, a predicted model, not a curated record